UCGCAGUGUGAUAGGGNAUCCCCAGNUGCUCAGCAUUGCUUGGGCUUUUGCCAUGGUGUAAAUAGCAUGGCGAAUAAGUGGUGGGAAAGACUGGUGCCAGCCGCCGCGGUAACACCAGCGCCACAAGUGGCAAUCNCGUUUAUUGGGCCUAAAGCGUCCGUAGCAGGUUUCGUAAAUCUCUUGUGAAAUUGCCGGNCUCAAUCNGGCAGACUGCAGGAGACACUGCGAGACUUGAGACCGGGAGGAGUUAGANGUAUUCCUUAGGGAGCGGUAAAAUGCUAUAAUCUAAGGAGGACCACCUGUGGCGAAGGCGUCUAACUAGAACGGAUCUGACUGUGAGGGACGAAAGCUAGGGGAGCGAACCGGAUUAGAUACCCGAGUAGUCCUAGCCGUAAACGCUGUGAGCUAGGUGUCGCGUAUUCUACGUGAAUNCGCGGUGUCGAAAGGAAGCUAUUAAGCUCACCGCCUGGGAAGUACGGUCGCAAGACUGAAACUUUAAGGAAUUGGGGGGGGAANCACAA
This 521-nucleotide ribosomal RNA is filed under the name uncultured euryarchaeote. Its description in RNAcentral is "bacterial SSU rRNA". It matches the Rfam family "Archaeal small subunit ribosomal RNA", at positions 360 to 884 of the family's 1478-position model. Lineage: Archaea; Methanobacteriati; Methanobacteriota. The record is from RNAcentral.